UGGGUGGUAAACAUCACCUAAGGCUAAAUAUUGGCGAGAGACCGAUAGCGAACAAGUACCGUGAGGGAAAGAUGAAAAGAACUUUGAAAAGAGAGUUAAACAGUGCGUGAAAUUGUUGAAAGGGAAACGAUUGAAGUCAGUCGUGCUGGCGCGAAAUCAACCCUCUCGUCGAGAGGUCACAUGGCGUGGCGAGCCUCAAAACCGUCACGAAGCGUGAACUCUUGGCGAAAAGGAGCACUUUCGUGUCCGCUGGUUAACAUCAAUUUCGAACGUCAUAAAAAGGCUGGAGGGAUGUGGCUCCUUCGGGAGUGUUAUAACCUUUAGCGGAAUGUGGUGUUCGGGAUUGAGGAUUGCAACGAAUACCUUUAGGGCUGUUCCACCUGGCUUCUCUUUGGUAUCCUGGUGAAGACAGCUUGCUGACUUUGUUAGGAUUCGCCUUUGAACAGGCUAGAGUGUGAGCAAAUUCGUUAAGGAUGUUAACGUAAUGGCUUUAAACGACCCGUCUUGAAACACGGACCAAGGAGUCUAGCAUAUAUGCGAGUGUUUGAGUGUUGAAACUCGAGCGCGAAAUGAAAGUGAUAUUGGUAAGAUCCUCUUCCCCUCGGGGGAGCGGAGCAUUAUCGACC
RNAcentral lists this ribosomal RNA (626 nucleotides) under uncultured Glomeromycotina. RNAcentral's name for it is "eukaryotic LSU rRNA". It matches the Rfam family "Eukaryotic large subunit ribosomal RNA", at positions 293 to 766 of the family's 3401-position model. Lineage: Eukaryota; Fungi; Glomeromycota. The record is from RNAcentral.